AUUGAACGCUGGCGGCAUGCCUUACACAUGCAAGUCGAACGGUAACGGGCCUUCGGGUGCCGACGAGUGGCGAACGGGUGCGUAAUACAUCGGAACGUGCCCGAUCGUGGGGGAUAACGAGGCGAAAGCUUUGCUAAUACCGCAUACGAUCUACGGAUGAAAGCAGGGGACCGCAAGGCCUUGCGCGGACGGAGCGGCCGAUGGCAGAUUAGGUCGUUGGUGGGAUAAAAGCUUACCAAGCCGACGAUCUGUAGCUGGUCUGAGAGGAUGAUCAGCCACACUGGGACUGAGACACGGCCCAGACUCCUACGGGAGGCAGCAGUGGGGAAUUUUGGACAAUGGGCGCAAGCCUGAUCCAGCCAUGCCGCGUGCAGGAUGAAGGCCUUCGGGUUGUAAACUGCUUUUGUACGGAACGAAAAGCCUUCUUUUAAUACAGGAGGGUCAUGACGGUACCGUAAGAAUAAGCACCGGCUAACUACGUG
This 482-nucleotide ribosomal RNA is filed under the name uncultured bacterium. RNAcentral's name for it is "partial 16S ribosomal RNA". It matches the Rfam family "Bacterial small subunit ribosomal RNA", at positions 30 to 507 of the family's 1533-position model. The record is from RNAcentral.